Molecule: ribosomal RNA, 418 nt
Filed under: uncultured bacterium
Lineage: Bacteria
Description: bacterial SSU rRNA
Rfam family: Bacterial small subunit ribosomal RNA
Source: RNAcentral
UGGGGAAUAUUGCACAAUGGGGGAAACCCUGAUGCAGCAACGCCGCGUGAAGGAAGAAGGUUUUCGGAUCGUAAACUUCUAUCAACAGGGACGAAACAAAUGACGGUACCUGAAUAAGAAGCCCCGGCUAACUACGUGCCAGCAGCCGCGGUAAUACGUAGGGGGCAAGCGUUAUCCGGAAUUACUGGGUGUAAAGGGAGCGUAGGCGGCACGUCAAGCCAGAUGUGAAAGCCCGGGGCUUAACCCCGUGGAUUGCAUUUGGAACUGGCGAGCUAGAGUACAGGAGAGGAAAGCGGAAUUCCUAGUGUAGCGGUGAAAUGCGUAGAUAUUAGGAAGAACACCAGUGGCGAAGGCGGCUUUCUGGACUGAAACUGACGCUGAGGCUCGAAAGCGUGGGGAGCAAACAGGAUUAGAUACC